AGCCUGAAACGAGAAAGCCGGUAGUUAGGGAGGCGCGGGCUGGGAAGUUCAGUUCGCGUGGGUUUGGAAUUGACAAACUGGAUUUGAAGCCUACUUGUGCUAUUUACUGCCAGGGCCAUCUUGGCAAGUCACUGAGCUUUGGCUUUGUCUGUCCCUGUUGUUGAGACGAGGGUCUUAACGGGAACUGACUUUGUAGGUCAUCCAAGAAAAGAAGCACUACAAGUCACAACAACCCAGUAGCUGCUUGCCUGAUGUCAGAGCUGCUCCUCAGAACACAGUCAGAGAAGUGACUACUGGUGUUGGCGACCCCGACAGGCUGAGGUGGCCCAGAACAGGAAGUCGACACAGUAGGGAAGAGAAGAAGCAGACUCCAGGAGCGCCCCUGCUUCUGGAAUUGAAAUGAGUUGAAGUUGUGCAUAUCACAGUUUGAAAGCUCUCCAGCCAGGCUAGGUGACACAGGCCUGCAAAGUCAGCACUCAGGAAGCUGAGGCCUUGGAGCUCCAGUUCAGUGCCAGACUGGGUUAUCUGAGGAGACACUAUCUCAGCAGGCAGUGGUGGAGCAUGCCUUUAAUCCCAGCACUCAGAAGAUCAAUACCACACCGCAGGAGUGCUGUGAAAACAUACAAGUCCUGAGGUGCAGUGUAAACUGGAGAAGACUGGCCGCUCCCCACUAGGGUUCCACUCUGGUAGCCCUCUCUGGCUGGCCUCUGCCUCCACUCCCACCUCCCCAGUGCUGGGCUUACAGUGUAAUACUUGAGAUGUCUGCCUACUGAGUGAACCCCAGGCUAUCUUGUGAAUCCGGGCUGGCAAUUUCAGACUGAAGCCUUCACAGAGGAGCCAAAGAGGCCCAUAUUCUGAGCAUUAAAUUUCAGGGCAUGCUA
Myodes glareolus (Bank vole) is the source of this 881-nucleotide non-coding RNA. Lineage: Eukaryota; Metazoa; Chordata; Mammalia; Rodentia; Cricetidae. The record is from RefSeq and is a predicted model, not a curated record.